GCUUCAGUCAGUUUGUGUGUGUCUGCUUGAGUCAGUGUGUGCAUCAGUCUGCAUGGGUCUGUCUGUGUGUAUCUGCUUGAGUCAGUGUGUGUAUCUGCUUGGGUCAGUGUGUGUGUGCCUGCAUAAGUCCAUGAAUUUAUGUGUGCCUAGGGCACUGAUUGUACGAGUGUGUGGAUUGAUUGUGAGUGAAUGAGUAAGUUUGUGC
Molecule: non-coding RNA, 205 nt
Organism: Pelobates cultripes (western spadefoot toad)
Lineage: Eukaryota; Metazoa; Chordata; Amphibia; Anura; Pelobatidae
Source: the annotation of a GenBank genome assembly